RNAcentral lists this ribosomal RNA (253 nucleotides) under uncultured bacterium. Its description in RNAcentral is "partial 16S ribosomal RNA". It matches the Rfam family "Bacterial small subunit ribosomal RNA", at positions 524 to 776 of the family's 1533-position model. The record is from RNAcentral.
UACAGAGGUCCCAAGCGUUGUUCGGAUUUACUGGGCGUAAAGGGUGCGUAGGUGGUUGGAUAAGUCUGAUGUGAAAUCUCCGGGCUCAACCCGGAAAUGGCAUUGGAUACUAUUCGACUAGAGGGUUGGAGGGGGGACUGGAAUACUUGGUGUAGCAGUGAAAUGCGUAGAUAUCAAGUGGAACACCAGUGGCGAAGGCGAGUCCCUGGACAACUCCUGACACUGAGGCACGAAAGCUAGGGGAGCAAACAGG